AAGGUAGCCAAAUGCCUUGCCGGGUAAGUUCCGGCGCGCAUGAACGGGUCAACGAGGUCCCCACUGUCCUGGCCCGGGGCCCCGUGAACCCCCUGAGCCGGUGCACAGUCCGGCAUCCCCCCGCAGGGAGAGAAGACCCCGUGGAGCUUUACCGCAGCCCGGCGUUGGCCCUCGGGUGGGGGUGCGUAGCGUAGGUGGGAGCCUGUGAGCCGCCCUCUCCGGGGGGCGGUGAGGCGUCCAUGAAACACCACCCACCCCCGCCCGGGGGCCUAACCCCGCCCCGGGUGGGCGGGGGACAGCGUCGGGUGGGCGGUUUGGCUGGGGCGGCACGCCCGCGAAAGGGUAACACGGGCGCCCAAAGGUCGGCUCAGGCGGGUCAGAACUCCGCCGUAGAGUGCAAGGGCAAAAGCCGGCCUGACCGGACCCCUGAAAGCACGGGGUCCGGCCGGGAAACCGUGGCCUAGCGCACGCUCGAGCCCCCUCGGUGGGGGCCGGGCACGACAGAAAAGUUACCCCGGGGAUAACAGAGUCGUCGCGGGCGAGAGCCCCCAUCGACCCCGCGGUUUGCUACCUCGAUGUCGGCUCUUCCCAUCCUGGGGGUGCAGCAAGAAGUCGUGGGCGGAUAUACACGAUAUUACGAUAUCAGGAUUAUAGUGUUAGAAAAAGGAUGAGGUAAUACCAACAUUCAUUAUAGUAGAGAGCGCGGUGGGAAUGUGCAAUUUAGGAUUAGGAUAUUGUGGCCGCUGACAAGAAAGGUGUUUGAAGAAUAUUUAGCAGGAUUAACAGCAGGUGAUGGCCAAAUAGAGGAGAAACGUAUAACAAUAACGGAUUCAAAUCCUGUCUUUCUCCAAAAUGUAGCAAGACUAAUACAACGUUACCUUAAUAUUGAACCGCGAAUGCAUAAGAGGCGAAACGUUAAUGCAUACUAUCUGCGAAUUUAUAGUAAGAAUUUGGUCGCGAUAAUAGAAAGUUUAAUAAAUAAACUUUAUGACGAACCCUCAGUUAACUUUAUUCGUGGCUACUUUGAUGCUGAAGGGAGUAUAUGGAUAGAUCAAAAUAGAUAUAUUGUAAUUGAAAUUGCAUCAGCAAAUCAAGCAAUAAUUAACAAUAUUAAAAAAAGCCUACAUAACAGUUGCAUUUACGGCUACAUGAGAACUAAAAGUUAUUAUGAUAAACGGCGUAAAAAGACUUAUACAAUUCAUAGAUUGGUAAUAAAACAAAGAAAUAGUGUGGGGCAUUUUCUUAAAAAUGUAGGUAUUAGGCAUCCAAAGCAUAUAAUGAAGCUUAUAUCUCAUGGUUUAGUUUAGAGUGUCCGCCCACGGCUUCCUGUAAGCCCCCAAGGGUGGGGCUGCCCGCCCAUUAAAGGGGAACGUGAGCUGGGUUCAGACCGUCGUGAGACAGGUCGGUCUCUACCCGCGGGGGGUGUGGGCCGCCUGAGGGGAAGGUGCCCCUAGUACGAGAGGAACGGGGCGCCGCGGCCUCUAGUGUACCGGUUGUCCGGCAGGGCAGAGCCGGGCAGCCACGCCGCAGUGGGGUAACCGCUGAAAGCAUCUAAGCGGGAACCCCUCCCCGAAAAGAGGCGGCCAUCCGCUUCUCCCGGCCUUGUGCCGGGAGGGCGGCGAGGGCUCCCGUAGAAGACGGGGUUGAUGGGGCGGGGGUGUAAGCCCCGAGGGUGCUUGGCGCCCGAGGGGUUCAGCCCGCCGCUCCCAAUCGCCCGAGGCUGCAGGGUG
Molecule: ribosomal RNA, 1730 nt
Filed under: Desulfurococcales archaeon
Lineage: Archaea; Thermoproteati; Thermoproteota; Thermoprotei; Desulfurococcales
Description: partial 23S ribosomal RNA
Rfam family: Archaeal large subunit ribosomal RNA
Source: RNAcentral